CCCCGAGGAGACGUCGGGCACCUCGCCGCUCGCGCCCGCCGCGCACCCGCUGCUGCUCACGUACAACUCCGACCCUGUGGACGCACAACCGGACAGCAACAGUACGACGAAAGGCAUCACACAUUCUAACGCACACCAUCAGUUACAAAAGACGGCAAGUGACAGCACAGUGACGACGAGCACGUCCUCGCUGAAGCCGCCGGCGGCCCCGCGCGGCCCCGGGCCCAGCGGCU
Molecule: long non-coding RNA, 233 nt
Organism: Ostrinia nubilalis (European corn borer)
Lineage: Eukaryota; Metazoa; Arthropoda; Insecta; Lepidoptera; Crambidae
Exons: 3
Source: RefSeq, a predicted model, not a curated record